This 84-nucleotide transfer RNA is filed under the name Aromia moschata. RNAcentral's name for it is "tRNA-OTHER". It matches the Rfam family "tRNA". From Rfam's summary of the family: Transfer RNA (tRNA) molecules are approximately 80 nucleotides in length. Their secondary structure includes four short double-helical elements and three loops (D, anti-codon, and T loops). Lineage: Eukaryota; Metazoa; Arthropoda; Insecta; Coleoptera; Cerambycidae. The record is from RNAcentral.
GUCGGGUUCACCGAGUGGUUAAGGCGCCAGAUUUAAGCUCUGGUUCCCGAGAGGGAAUCGUAGGUUCGAAUCCCUCAGCUGACA